Non-coding RNA from Mustela putorius furo (domestic ferret), 138 nucleotides. NCBI's taxonomy places the organism in Eukaryota, Metazoa, Chordata, Mammalia, Carnivora, Mustelidae. The record is from Rfam.
AUCUUUGCGCAGUGGCAGUAUCGUAGCCAAUGAGGUUUAUCCGAGGCACGAUUAUUGCUAAUUGAAAAUAAAAAUUAAAAAAUUAUUGCUAAUACUUCUGGUUUUCAGUUGAUAAAAAAAUAAUACUACAAAUAUAUA